AGAGUUUGAUCCUGGCUCAGGACGAACGCUGGCGGCGUGCUUAACACAUGCAAGUCGAACGGUAAGGCCCNUUCGGGGGUACACGAGUGGCGAACGGGUGAGUAACACGUGAGUAACCUGCCCUUGACUCUGGGAUAACAGCUGGAAACAGCUGCUAAUACCGGAUACGAACCUCUUAGGCAUCUUCGAGGUUGGAAAGUUCCGGCGGUCAAGGAUGGACUCGCGGCCUAUCAGCUUGUUGGUGAGGUAAUGGCUCACCAAGGCGACGACGGGUAGCCGGCCUGAGAGGGCGACCGGCCACAUUGGGACUGAGAUACGGCCCAAACUCCUACGGGAGGCAGCAGUGGGGAAUAUUGCACAAUGGGCGAAAGCCUGAUGCAGCAACGCCGCGUGCGGGAAGACGGCCUUCGGGUUGUAAACCGCUUUCAGUAGGGACGAAGCUAACGUGACGGUACCUACAGAAGAAGCACCGGCUAACUACGUGCCAGCAGCCGCGGUGAUACGUAGGGUGCGAGCGUUGUCCGGAAUUAUUGGGCGUAAAGAGCUUGUAGGCGGUUUGUCACGUCGGGAGUGAAAACUCGGGGCUUAACCCCGAGCCUGCUUCCGAUACGGGCUGACUUGAGGAAGGUAGGGGAGAAUGGAAUUCCUGGUGAAGCGGUGGAAUGCGUAGAUAUCAGGAGGAACACCAGUGGCGAAGGCGGUUCUCUGGACCUUUCCUGACGCUGAGAAGCGAAAGCGUGGGGAGCAAACAGGAUUAGAUACCCUGGUAGUC
This 772-nucleotide ribosomal RNA is filed under the name uncultured bacterium. Its description in RNAcentral is "bacterial SSU rRNA". It matches the Rfam family "Bacterial small subunit ribosomal RNA", at positions 8 to 795 of the family's 1533-position model. The record is from RNAcentral.